This is a long non-coding RNA of Orcinus orca (killer whale), 610 nucleotides long. RefSeq lists it as uncharacterized. The transcript has 3 exons. Lineage: Eukaryota; Metazoa; Chordata; Mammalia; Artiodactyla; Delphinidae. The record is from RefSeq and is a predicted model, not a curated record.
GCCGCCCCUCCCGGUCGUAGACAUAGACCAGCUCGCUCCCGGUGGACAGGAAGACCUCCGCCCCGUGGCACAGCACGCGAGGCUUGCCCACCGCCAGGCCUCCGAGCGGGCAGCAGAAGCCCGCCAGCCACCAAGAAUGCUCUGAGAACUGAUGGGGAAGGGGAAAAGAAAAGCCGGAGGAGUCCAGAAGGUCUCCGCACUCAGCACUUAGAGCACAGGCUCCGGACGCGCAGGCUCAGCGACCAUGGCUCACGGGCCCAGCUGCUCCACGGCAUGUGGGAUCUUCCCGGACCGGGGCACGAACCUGUGUCCCCUGCAUUGGCAGGCGGACUCUCAACCACUGCGCCACCAGGGAAGCCCUAAAUAGUUUUUAUAACGAGAGACUUCGAAAGCCUUCCAGGGGCUCUCAGGCAGUAUUUACAGAAAAUGCUUCCUAACAAGUAAGUGACUGCAAAACAGCACACGUUUUCCAGGGAGAAGGCCCUAAGCUUUCACCACCUCCCCAACCGGAGGGGCAGCAGCUAAGCCGGGGGCUGGAGGUGCAACUCUCUGGGCUUAACAGGGAAGGCAAAGCCAGUGAAAAGUUUCGGGGUGCCUGGUGUCAAGUAUC